AGUUAGCUCAGUUGGUAGAGCAACGGACUCUUAAACCGUGGGUCCAGGGUUCGAGCCCCUGUCUG
RNAcentral lists this transfer RNA (65 nucleotides) under Weissella sp. DD23. RNAcentral's name for it is "tRNA-Lys". The stretch from base 4 to 61 matches the Rfam family "tRNA", at positions 8 to 63 of the family's 71-position model. Rfam says of the family: Transfer RNA (tRNA) molecules are approximately 80 nucleotides in length. Lineage: Bacteria; Bacillati; Bacillota; Bacilli; Lactobacillales; Lactobacillaceae. The record is from RNAcentral.